Molecule: unclassified non-coding RNA, 666 nt
Filed under: Hevea brasiliensis (rubber tree)
Lineage: Eukaryota; Viridiplantae; Streptophyta; Magnoliopsida; Malpighiales; Euphorbiaceae
Source: RNAcentral
CAAUUUUAUUAUUUAUAUAAUCCCCAUCAAUGUUAUACAUGAAAAUGGGAAAAUUCUAAAUUCGAAAUAUGUUAAUAAUGAUACAUUUUUGCUUGUAAUUGGAAGGGUUAAACAUGCUUAGGGAGUGCAUAGGAAGAGAUGACAGAUAAUAUUGCAGUGCAGAUGAAUCCCAGGAGGAGGAGACUGGCAGAGGCAUAGCCUUUGUUGAAGAAUUGGUCAAAAUUUCCUGAACCUGCAAAUAUUGAUUUCAUAUCUUUUGUAACUCCAAAUCCUGCAGCUGCACCAGUGGCUAAAACAUAUGAUAUUACCUUGUCACCAUAGAAGUCAAAAACAAGGCUUCCAUCAUCACUCAUCGCUCGAUUUCCAGUGGCAACGUGGUAUAAUGUGAAAGCCAUUUGCAAGAUUGUGUAUGCAAAUCCAAUAACAAUUGCUGCAACCAUGUACCGAUACGCAUAAACAUCUUUGAAGUGGACUUUAACCUCGACGAGAUCAACUUCUAAGGUGGCAGUGUUGGUGGUCAAGAUAAUAAGUGAAGCCAAGAGGAAAAUAAAAGUGAGAACCCUCAAGACAAGAGCAGACAUACGAGAAGCCAUGGAUGGUGUAGGAGGUGGCAUCUUGAAUAUUAUAAUGAACAAAGCAAGGCUAUAUGGUGGAGGAAGUGAUAAG